GUGCCAGCCGCCGCGGUAAUACCGGCAGCCCGAGUGAUGGCCGAUCUUAUUGGGCCUAAAGCGUCCGUAGCUGGCCGCGCAAGUCCAUCGGGAAAUCCACCCGCCCAACGGGUGGCCGUCCGGUGGAAACUGCACGGCUUGGGACCGGAAGGCGCGACGGGUACGUCCGGGGUAGGAGUGAAAUCCUGUAAUCCUGGACGGACCACCGAUGGCGAAAGCACCUUGGAAGGACGGAUCCGACAGUGAGGGACGAAAGCUAGGGUCUCGAACCGGAUUAGAUACCCGAGUAGUCC
This 293-nucleotide ribosomal RNA is filed under the name uncultured bacterium. RNAcentral's name for it is "partial 16S ribosomal RNA". It matches the Rfam family "Archaeal small subunit ribosomal RNA", at positions 455 to 747 of the family's 1478-position model. The record is from RNAcentral.